This is a long non-coding RNA of Canis lupus familiaris (dog), 988 nucleotides long. RefSeq lists it as uncharacterized. The transcript has 4 exons. Lineage: Eukaryota; Metazoa; Chordata; Mammalia; Carnivora; Canidae. The record is from RefSeq and is a predicted model, not a curated record.
AGAAAGAAUGAUAUUUGAAUACAAGAUAUAGGCCAGGUACUACUGGCUAAGAAAGAAAUGCAAUAGUGCUUGCUCCCUCAUCCCCUUGGGACAGGGGAGAGGACAAAAGUUCCCAGUAGUCAGCAAAAUCCCAACAUUCUCCCUCUCUUAAACCAUUCUUCCCAACUCUGUGGCCUUACAAGUAUGAAAGCAGUGCCACUAACUGGAAUCUUAGAAAAGUUGAGGUUUUAUACCUGGAUGUUGAAAGCCCAUGAUCUAGUCAAGAACAAAUGAGGGAAGUCUAAUGUCAGGGAAAUCUUCUCCAACAACUUUUUGAAGUGCUCCUGUGUGACUUGAGGUCUUCAUUUUGAACAGACUAAACUGGUUGGUAAUUGCUAAUUGAAGACGACUUCUAUCUGUUCAUGUAGUAAGAAAACAAAAGCAAGCAAUGAGAAGAAAGCAAGAUGUGAAUUAAAUCCUAAAUAACAAACUAAGCUCUGUUGAACUGGUGCAAUCGACGAGUAGAAAGAGCUCUCUCUUUGCAGCAAAUCAGAAAACCAAGACUCUUGCCCUUAUCACCAAUUCAAUGUGAAACUUAGACAAUUCAUGUUAUGUAUCAGUUUCAUUCCUAUGUUUAUUAAAAAAAAAAGAGUAAAUAGGAAAGGAUCAUCUAUAAGAUUUCUUCCGGGCAUCAAUAACUGAUAUUUAUGUUAGCAAGAACACUACCGCCAGAGCAGAACUUUCAGAUAAAAGAAAGAUUCCACACUAGCAAAGCAAAUAAAUAGAAAAAAGAAAUCAAAGAAGUUUGCUAGACUUACACAAAAAUAUCCUGAAAAGAAUCACAUUUGUAAGGUGUAUUAUACCACAAAUAAUAGAAUAUUUGCAUGUUAAAGUUUGGCCUUCAUGAGACAGAUGAGGAAACUGGCCUCUGAGGAGGGAAGGGACUGAUUUGAGGUCAAGGAUUGUAAAGAAUCCAAGAUUGGCAGUGAGGAUCCCCGAUGGCCAGUGC